Molecule: non-coding RNA, 2180 nt
Organism: Punica granatum (pomegranate)
Lineage: Eukaryota; Viridiplantae; Streptophyta; Magnoliopsida; Myrtales; Lythraceae
Source: RefSeq, a predicted model, not a curated record
AACAAAUCCCCAGAUUCCAUAGCAGCUCCUGAAAAAAUAGAAAAAGCGGAGAAAGGGAAGGAAGAAGAAAGCUAAAGCCCUAGGAAUCUUCCUCUCCCUCUCCUUCUCCUUCGUCUUCCCACUGCGAGGGAGAGCGGGUGUGACCGGGACUCCAUCGAAAUUGACCUCUCCGUCUCCUGUCUGCUCUCCUGCGAACCCCAAUUGCACAGAGAUCCAACCUUUCCGGUGGGCUAUCUUUUAGAAUGUUCUGAUAAGGGAAUUCGUUUCUCGGUGAUUCUAAGGUUGGAUCUUCGAUCCUUCUGGUGAUUCCUAGAAGCAGGCACUGCUCAUUUCUUCAUCUUGUACUUGCGAUUGUUGGGUUUUCGCGAAUUCUUCAGGUUUUUGAUUGUGGGUCUGGUUUUGAUCGGAUAAUAUCUGUGGCGAAUUCUUGAAGAGAGUAUUGACAAUUCUUGGAUUCGCCGUUCGGACAGUGAAUGCUAGUGGGUUUUUUUCUUGGAUAGGAUUGAUGUGGGAAUUAUUAUGAUCGAGGGGCUUUUGCUUCAUUGAGUCUCUGCGGCAUCUGUUGAUGUCUCUUGAAGUCGUGGGAGAGGACUGGCUUGUGAACAUUCCACGCUCGCUUUCGAGUGUUCUCAGGCCAUUGCGAUCUUUGUUGUUCGAGCAGAAAGUCUUCUCGUUCUGCAUCCCAAGAGACAGAUGGGAUAAGGAGUUCUUUAAGCUGCAGGGCGGAUAGAUUUGGUGGACACUGCAAGGGUUUCUGGAACUCUUAAGUUGAGGAUUUUAGUUUUCAGUUGCGGGUGGGUUUGGUUCGAGAUGGGCUCCUCUCAGGGUUCCACACUAUCGACCAAUGUGGUCGGGAUUGUUGAUGGAUCACCGGCUUGCGAAGAAGUCACUUACAUAGAUAGCCUGCCUGUUUAUGUUAAGGAGUUGAUUGCUGGUGGGGCUGCUGGAGGCUUUGCUAAGACCGCUGUUGCCCCUCUCGAGCGGACAAAGAUAUUGUUGCAGACAAGAACUGAAGGGUUCCAAUCUCUUGGGGUAUGGAAAUCCUUGCGGAAGCUGCUUAAGCAUGAAGGAUUUUUCGGCUUUUACAAGGGAAAUGGGGCUAGCGUUUUGAGAAUUGUUCCUUAUGCAGCCCUGCAUUUCAUGACCUAUGAGCAGUAUCGUUGCUGGAUAUUGAAUAAUUACCCCAUUGUGGGGUCAGGACCCAUUGUAGAUCUUCUUGCUGGAUCUGCAGCUGGAGGAACAGCUGUAUUGUGCACGUACCCGCUAGAUCUAGCUCGAACAAAGCUUGCUUACCAGGUAAAAGACUCAAAAUUGAAUAUCAGGGCUGGUGUGACUAGCAUUUCUACCCAACCUGCUUACAAUGGUAUAAGGGAUGUGCUCAAGAGCGUCUAUAGGGAAGGCGGAAUGCGUGGAUUAUAUCGAGGUGUAGGUCCAACUCUCACAGGGAUCCUGCCCUAUGCUGGACUAAAGUUCUACAUAUAUGAAGAGCUUAAAACACGUGUACCUGAAGAGCAUCAGCAGUCCAUUGUGAUGCGUCUCUCAUGUGGGGCCUUGGCUGGGCUAUUUGGGCAGACGUUCACAUACCCAUUAGAUGUUGUCAGAAGACAGAUGCAGGUCGAAAGUCUGCAGCCUGCGGCUGAGGGACAAGCUCGGUACAGGAACACGUGGGAUGGGCUCACUACGAUUGUCCGAAACCAGGGAUGGAGACAGUUAUUUGCUGGUCUAAGCAUUAACUACAUUAAGGUUGAAACUGAUAAAACAGUUAGCUGCUCUGUUUGGAGAUGAUGCUUAAUAAGCCCACUGUAUUUGAGAGUCAAUUUUCUGAAAGAUGCUGUUUCUCACAAUAGCAAGAUAAUAUUGGCCCGUGUAACAAUUUACUCCUUCAAGGUGCCCUGCCAUAUUGUGCCUUCGGUAGCGAUUGGCUUCACAGCAUAUGACAUGAUGAAGGGUUGGCUUCGGAUUCCCCCUCGACAGAAAUCUCAGUCUGUUUCCACCUCGUAAUUCUUCCAGCCAUGGGGAUUAAGAGCAGGUCUUUUGCUGAUUAGUGCUAUCUCAUUAUGACACUUAUAUCUUAAAUGGAGUUCCUCUUGUUGAGUAUGUGCUGAACCCGUAUGAUUCUCGAUGUAAAACUCUAUUCCUGAGAUCGAGAAAUGGGAAUUCUGCUAUUGCCUGCUGAUACA